Molecule: ribosomal RNA, 274 nt
Filed under: uncultured bacterium
Lineage: Bacteria
Description: partial 16S ribosomal RNA
Rfam family: Bacterial small subunit ribosomal RNA
Source: RNAcentral
AUACGUAAGGGGCGAGCGUUGUCCGGAUUCACUGGGCGUAAAGGGCGCGUAGGCGGCGAUACAAGUCAGAGGUGAAAGCUAUGGGCUCAACCCAUAAACGGCCUUUGAAACUGUAUUGCUUGAGUAUUGCAGAGGAAAGUGGAAUUCAUGGUGUAGCGGUGAAAUGCGUAGAUAUCAUGGAGAACACCUAUGGCGAAGGCAGCUUUCUGGGCAAAUACUGACGCUGAGGCGCGAAAGCUAGGGUAGCGAACAGGAUUAGAAACCCUAGUAGUCC